GCAACGAGUUGAUAGCUGCGAGUCUAAUUGCCCAAACACAUUUUGCGGGGAAGAGAAAGCUGAUAAAUUUGGAUACAAACCAGAUGACGGUGAACUCAUAGAAGCGUGUGGAAAGCAGUACAUUUUUUCAAGAGCACCUAGAUUCAACCAAAACUCAACUGUUUCAUUUUGCUGCACGAAAUACAUGAGCGCUGGAAGUGUUUCUUCUUUGGACGAGGCCAAGUGUUUGGCCCGCGAAAUGAUCAAAAGAAAUAUUGGUGACGUGCCUUUCUGGACAAGCGCGAGGCCGAGCAACUGCUCUGAUUUUUCCACGUGGUGUGCUCUGGACGGGUCGGGAGAAGUCGUUGACCAAACCUCAUUGCAGAUUAUCAACAAAAGAACUAACCCUAAGAAGCAAUUUGUUACAGUGAAGGCGAUUGUGCAGACAGAGUCUCUGACUUUUGAAUUCGAAGACCCCGCAGUCUUGGCCACUGUUUUCAGUAAAUGUAACUUAAAAUUUAUUUUCUAAUCAUCUCGUUCUAAUGUUUUAAGCGAAUGAACCCGCUGAGUUGCACCGAGUCGCUGUGUUUUCCUAUGGGAUUUAAUGAGCAGGUUUGAUUUUUUGGUUCAUUUCAUAAUCUAUCUAAUCUAUUUGUAAAUUAAUUGUCAACAUGAAAUAUUUGCUCCAUUUUGCUAGUAACAAAACCCGUUAAACUUAAGCAUUUUUUUAAAAUUUGUAUAUUUUUACUUAGAUCAAAAGGUAAACAUGGAUGCAUCGAAUAUUUUACUCUAAAAGUAAUCGAUAUUUUUUACUGAAAUUUUUAAAUAAAAUUUUCAACAGUUAAAUUAUACAAAAUAGAAAAAUUGUCAAAAGACGCGAAAUUAAACUGCACAGAGGGCCCAUUAUGUCAAUUUUUUAAAUUAUACCCAUAGUUUUUCAUCCCUUUCGGAAACUGUUUUUUUUAGUAAACAGCAAUUUUUAAAAAAUUUAUAGCGGGAUCCCUAUGGGCUCAAAUGGGCCGCGUAUUGGAUCUGCUUCGAUUUGUCUUGAAGAGACGAGCUAUCGAUUGCGUGGUUUUUUAAAUAUUCGGUUCCAUCGAUUUUCGGAGGUGCAAAAGGUGACCUUCAAACCUCCAUAAAAACCACCCUAUCCGAUUGCCAGCAAAAAGGGGUUAUAUAUAGCCUUUGACUUACAUUGGGGUGGGCAGCUGACGCUGCCUGCGGAUUGUGUUAACUCGAAAAAAAUCGGCACAGCACGGGGGAA
Molecule: long non-coding RNA, 1243 nt
Organism: Cloeon dipterum
Lineage: Eukaryota; Metazoa; Arthropoda; Insecta; Ephemeroptera; Baetidae
Exons: 5
Source: RefSeq, a predicted model, not a curated record